ACUCCUACGGGAGGCAGCAGUGGGGAAUUUUGCGCAAUGGGCGAAAGCCUGACGCAGCAACGCCGCGUGAGUGAUGAAGGCUUUCGGGUCGUAAAGCUCUGUCAAUGGGAAAGAAGUGUAUUGAGGCUAAUAUCCUCGAUACUUGACGGUACCCAUAAAGGAAGCACCGGCUAACUCCGUGCCAGCAGCCGCGGUAAUACGGGGGGUGCAAGCGUUGUUCGGAAUUAUUGGGCGUAAAGCGCGUGUAGGCGGUUUGUUAAGUCUGUUGUGAAAGCCCUGGGCUCAACCCAGGAAGUGCACUGGAUACUGGCAGACUUGAAUACGGGAGAGGGUAGUGGAAUUCCUGGUGUAGGAGUGAAAUCCGUAGAUAUCAGGAGGAACACCGGUGGCGAAGGCGGCUACCUGGACCGAUAUUGACGCUGAGACGCGAAAGCGUGGGUAGCAAACAGGAUUAGAUACCCUGGUAGUCCACGCCGUAAACGAUGAGAACUAGGUGUCGCGGGUA
This 505-nucleotide ribosomal RNA is filed under the name uncultured Geobacter sp. Its description in RNAcentral is "bacterial SSU rRNA". It matches the Rfam family "Bacterial small subunit ribosomal RNA", at positions 335 to 831 of the family's 1533-position model. Lineage: Bacteria; Pseudomonadati; Thermodesulfobacteriota; Desulfuromonadia; Geobacterales; Geobacteraceae. The record is from RNAcentral.